This 492-nucleotide ribosomal RNA is filed under the name uncultured bacterium. RNAcentral's name for it is "bacterial SSU rRNA". It matches the Rfam family "Bacterial small subunit ribosomal RNA", at positions 29 to 527 of the family's 1533-position model. The record is from RNAcentral.
AGUUAACGUUGGCGGCGUGCCUAACACAUGCAAGUCGAACGCGUCCUAAGGGCAACUUUAGGAUGAGUGGCGAACGGGUGAGUAUCACGUGGGUAAUCUUCCUUCAAGUGGGGAAUAAGCUCUCGAAAGGGAGUCUAAUACCGCAUGACAUUCCGGGACACAAGUCCCGUAAUCAAAGCCGCAAGGCGCUUGAAGAUGAGCCUGCGUCCUAUUAGCUAGUUGGUGGGGUAACGGCCUACCAAGGCUUAGAUGGGUAGCCGGCCUGAGAGGGUGAACGGCCACACUGGGACUGAGACACGGCCCAGACUCCUACGGGAGGCAGCAGUGAGGAAUUUUGCGCAAUGGGGGAAACCCUGACGCAGCGACGCCGCGUGGAGGAUGAAGGCCUUCGGGUCGUAAACUCCUGUCAGAGGUGAGAAUACCGCAAGGGUUGACGGUAACCUCAGAGGAAGCCCCGGCUAACUACGUGCCAGCAGCCGCGGUAAUCAUACU